AUGACGCCGAAGACAGCAGGUGCCGAUCUGGCGUAACUUGUAUGGCCUGCCGAGGAAAGUAAGAUCGUAUGAACGGAUUUACUGCCCCUGUCUUCGUGUGACAGGGGUUUUCUUUUUU
Molecule: small RNA, 118 nt
Filed under: bovine gut metagenome
Description: Ribosomal protein L10 leader
Rfam family: Ribosomal protein L10 leader
About the family: This family is a putative r-protein leader autoregulatory structure found in B. subtilis and other low-GC Gram-positive bacteria.
Source: RNAcentral